Molecule: unclassified non-coding RNA, 235 nt
Filed under: Hevea brasiliensis (rubber tree)
Lineage: Eukaryota; Viridiplantae; Streptophyta; Magnoliopsida; Malpighiales; Euphorbiaceae
Source: RNAcentral
GAAUAAAAGACCAGACGCAAGUACAAAGAGAGGUAGAUCUCUACAAACAGAUAAAGCUCAAACAAGUAAGUCCAUAGCUAAAACUAGGGCAACAAAAAAAAGGUCCCAAAAAACAACNCCCAAAAAACAACCCAAACCACAGCAACAAAGGUUGAAGCCAAACCCAAUAUAACCCUAACUCUACAUUAAACCCGCAUGAGAGGAAGGAUUCAGCAGUCAGUACAAGUAACAUCGC